Molecule: ribosomal RNA, 788 nt
Filed under: uncultured bacterium
Lineage: Bacteria
Description: bacterial SSU rRNA
Rfam family: Bacterial small subunit ribosomal RNA
Source: RNAcentral
AGAGUUUGAUCCUGGCUCAGGAUGAACGCUGGCGGCGUGCUUAACACAUGCAAGUCGAACGAAGCAGCCAAACGGAUUUCUUCGGAAUGAAGCUUGGCUGACUUAGUGGCGGACGGGUGAGUAACGCGUGGGUAACCUGCCUCAUACAGGGGGAUAACAGUUAGAAAUGACUGCUAAUACCGCAUAUGCGCACAGUACCGCAUGGUACAGGGCGGAAAGAUUUAUCGGUAUGAGAUGGACCCGCGUUGGAUUAGCUAGUUGGCAGGGUAACGGCCUACCAAGGCGACGAUCCAUAGCCGGCCUGAGAGGGUGAACGGCCACAUUGGGACUGAGACACGGCCCAAACUCCUACGGGAGGCAGCAGUGGGGAAUAUUGCACAAUGGGGGAAACCCUGAUGCAGCGACGCCGCGUGAAGGAAGAAGUAUCCCGGUAUGUAAACUUCUAUCAGCAGGGAAGAAAAUGACGGUACCUGACUAAGAAGCCCCGGCUAACUACGUGCCAGCAGCCGCGGUAAUACGUAGGGGGCAAGCGUUAUCCGGAUUUACUGGGUGUAAAGGGAGCGUAGACGGCGUAUCAAGUCUGAUGUGAAAGGCAGGGGCUCAACCCCUGGACUGCAUUGGAAACUGGUAUGCUCGAGUGCCGGAGAGGUAAGCGGAAUUCCUAGUGUAGCGGUGAAAUGCGUAGAUAUUAGGAGGAACACCAGUGGCGAAGGCGGCUUACUGGACGGUAACUGACGCUGAGGUACGAAAGCAUGGGGAGCAAACAGGAUUAGAUACCCUGGUAGUCC